UACGACUACAUAUCAGGCAUAUCAAUAAGCGGAGGAAAAGAAACUAACAAGGAUUCCCUUAGUAACGGCGAGUGAAGCGGGAAGAGCUCAAAUUUGAAAUCUUCAAGGUUCUACCUUGACGAAUUGUAGUUUAAAGAAGUGUUUUCUGUUAGAUGAGUAGCAAAAGUUCCUUGGAAUGGGACAUCAUAGAGGGUGAGAAUCCCGUAUUUGGUUAUUCAUUCUAGCCUUGUGAUACACUUCCAAAGAGUCGGAUUGUUUGGGAAUGCAGUCCAAAAUGGGUGGUAAAUUUCAUCUAAAGCUAAAUAUUGGCGAGAGACCGAUAGCGAACAAGUACCGUGAGGGAAAGAUGAAAAGAACUUUGAAAAGAGAGUUAAACAGUACGUGAAAUUGUCAAAAGGGAAGCGUUUGACACCAGUGUUGUUUUUCCGAAAAAUCAAUUACGAAUGGCUUGAUUUUGUGUUGUAUUGACCUUAUCAGCUUUCUGCACUUUUUUCGAGUCUUUCUUAAUGCACUUUUCGGUUAACAAGUCAACAUCAAUUUCUUUUGUUGUAAAAGAGUACUCGGAAGGUGGCUUUCUUUUCGGAGAAAGUGUUUAUAGCCCUAUACUUCUACAAUCGGAGAGAUUGAGGUCUGCAGCGUAGAUCCCUUCGGGGUUAGAUACACUUGUGCUAAGUUGUAGCUUUUCAUAGACAACUUGUUGACUAUGUUUAGUCAUGCGGCUUACUCGCUUAUGCUAUUUUACCUACGCUUAGGAUGUUGAGUAGCGACAUACGCAC
RNAcentral lists this ribosomal RNA (776 nucleotides) under uncultured Neocallimastigales. RNAcentral's name for it is "partial large subunit ribosomal RNA". It matches the Rfam family "Eukaryotic large subunit ribosomal RNA", at positions 24 to 649 of the family's 3401-position model. The record is from RNAcentral. Lineage: Eukaryota; Fungi; Neocallimastigomycota; Neocallimastigomycetes; Neocallimastigales.